This 366-nucleotide ribosomal RNA is filed under the name Triticum aestivum (bread wheat). Its description in RNAcentral is "partial small subunit ribosomal RNA". Lineage: Eukaryota; Viridiplantae; Streptophyta; Magnoliopsida; Poales; Poaceae. The record is from RNAcentral.
AUGGCCACCGAGGUCCUCCGCCCGCACAGCAUCCUGCAGCCGCAGACGCAGAGGAUCCGCGCCGCGCACCGGAGGCCCAGCAACCCCGGCACCGCCAGGAGGUCUCCUCCUCCAUCGGCCUCGACGACCGGCCGGAGAAACCAUGGGCGGCCUUCCUCUUCUUCUUCUUCCUACGGGAAGGUGACGUAUGCGGCCGCUCCGGCGAGGCGCCCCGCGGUGGAAGUGUACGCCGGCCCGGCCUUCUCCGCCGCGUCCCCCGAGCCGAGCUCGCUGCCGCUGCCUCAGUUCCCGCUCCAGAAGCCCGCGGCCGCCGUCGUCAACGACGCCGCCACGCGCGACCUCAGGCGCAUGCUGCGCCUCGAGUAG